This 2170-nucleotide long non-coding RNA is filed under the name Homo sapiens (human). RNAcentral describes it as "HSALNT0066017". The record is from RNAcentral. Lineage: Eukaryota; Metazoa; Chordata; Mammalia; Primates; Hominidae.
AUACAUCUUAUCGCAUAGUGACGACAGAUCUGGAGUGUUGGUCCCAAUGUUGCCAAUACCUAGGUGGUUGCUAUUAGACAACUAAUUCUCUCUUUGCCAUUUCCUCAUCUGUUGAAUGAUGAGGGAGUUCCAGGUCUAAGAACUAUGGAAACAUUCUGCUCCAAAUGCCUGUUGUUCGAUCCACAAAUAUGCCCCAAGAUUAUCCCACCAAUUGGUUACAUCAGGCUGUGCUGGCCACAGAGUGGCCCACGUGUCUGUUUUCCAAGGCCAAGUGCCUGGUCUAACUGUGUCCCUAGCUGGGCCUGGCAGAGAGGUGGUGGCCGGGCCAGCAGAAUGAUGUUGGUACAGGAAGAGGAUUUUUCUCAGGAUAAAAGGCUGACUCUAGCCUGCAGCUCAUGGCCUUUAAUAGCCUAAUGAUCACGUGAGAGUCCUUGGCUUGGUCUGGCCUGGCCAGGCCCUGAGCACUGGCAGGAGAGCCCCACCCAGGUUAAUUGAUCUGUUUCUAUCCUCUGACAGGCCCUGGGCAGGAGUUGGCACAUUUUCCUCUGUGCACAGAUCUUCCCCGUGCCAGGCUUACAAAAGGAAGUUUCCGGAGCUGAGCAGCUUUUCAGGAGCUCCAUGGCCAGUUCACCUCCCCAUUCUGACACCUAACGCCGUGAGGCUCCGUCCUUGAAGAGAUGUAACAUGUUCUGGAGAAGAUGUCAAGGGUCACUUCGAAGUGUGCACAGGAAAGAAAACUGAUCCUGUAGCCACAGAAAAACAGGACUGAGACCAGGAAGGGCAAGUCGUGUGUGUCAGCAUUGUGGACCUUUAUAUAAAUAAUAAUUUUCCAGUGGGAACUGUGAUCUCUUCUUGUCUCUUCUAUUUUUAAAUGCUAAUUACUUCUGAUUUUGUUUACGUAGGCGGAGCUAAUAAGAACAUUUGCUUCAUAACCAUUGAACCUAAUGUAUCUGUUUUUGGACACUGGUGAUUUAUUUUUGCACACAUGCUCCAAAUUGGUGCUAAUUACUUUAAAGGAUCAGAGUUUCUAUUCCAAGAGGGAUGACGACAGAAUGUCAAUUUGGAGUCUCUGAGCAUAAUGUCCCAAUUAUCAAUGCAUUCCAGACCAGAAUGGACUUGGCACCUUCUUGAAGGGAUUUGGCUUCACUUUUAUCAGCCAGUCCCUGGUUGUAGCUUCAUUAAAACUUGCUUUCUAGUAACUUGUGGAUGUGCCUAUACUUUUCUCUGUCUCAAAGACCCUUCAGUGUCAUAUCAGUAUCCUGAAUACCUACCUUUUCAUUUCCAGAUCAAAUACUUCUCCCUCUGAGCCUUUUUUGAUCUCUUUGGCCCAAGAUAAUUUUAAUUCCUAAGAUUUUCUGAUUCCUUUCUUAAAGAGGUUAGCACUUUCUACAUUGUAUUGUAAUCAUUUGCUGUUACAUUCUUACCUCCUUUCUAACAGAUAAGCCCCUUAGUGACAAUACCUUAUCUGAAUUAUCUUUGUCCCCACUGCACACUGAAACUUCUCCUGGUGCCCUGUACAUAAUAAGUGCUUUACACAUUGAUUUAAUUGCGGUUUGUUUAUAAUAUCCUACAUGCUCCAGAAAGAUUUUAAGGUAGAUUUAAAUAAAUAUUUAUGCAACAAAGGAAUGAAUACAUCUAUACGCACACAGAAUUACUAAAGUCUAUAAUCAAUAUAUGAAGUAUAACUACACAGUACAAAAUUUAACCAUCAUACCUAAAAGAAAAACAAACACGAUGCUGUGGGGAAUGCUUGAGAGGUAGUAACAAAGGCUUUAAAUCUUAAUGACCACCAAAGUAACCCACAUUCCUGAUAUGGUAUUUGCUCAACAUGAAUGUUUAGAUGAACAGGAGAUGAAAACUAUCUGAAGUGAGGGGAGGGGGUGUCACUGACUACACAGAAUAAAUAUGGAGCAUAUUGUGACCAAGAAGAUAUGGCCACAGAGGAAAAAGAGCAAAACAGGUCCAUCCUAAUUUGUUCAUUUACCGUUCACUUAUUCAUCCCACAAACUUGUAUGGAGAAGCCCCUAUGUCAAAUGCUAUGCUUGCACUGUGGAUGCAAAGGUAAAUAAAAACAUCCUAGUUUAGCUGUUUAGACCAGGGGUCAGCAAACUAUGGCCAAUGGGCCAUCUCCGGAUCACUGUUUGUUUUAUAAAUAAAGUUUUAUUGGAAU